This 58-nucleotide transfer RNA is filed under the name Seladonia tumulorum. Its description in RNAcentral is "tRNA-Ser". The record is from RNAcentral. Lineage: Eukaryota; Metazoa; Arthropoda; Insecta; Hymenoptera; Halictidae.
GAAAUAUAACUUAAGAACUUCUAAUUCUUUCUAAAAUGUAUAAAUCAUUAAUAUUUCU